AGCGCAGGCGGUUUGUUAAGUCUGAUGUGAAAGCCCACGGCUCAACCGUGGAACGGCAUUGAAAACUGGCAAACUUGAGUAUAGAAGAGGAAAGUGGAAUUCCAUGUGUAGCGGUGAAAUGCGUAGAUAUAUGGAGGAACACCAGUGGCGAAGGCGACUUUCUGGUCUAUAACUGACGCUGAGGCUCGAAAGCGUGGGGAGCGAACA
RNAcentral lists this ribosomal RNA (207 nucleotides) under uncultured Facklamia sp. RNAcentral's name for it is "partial 16S ribosomal RNA". It matches the Rfam family "Bacterial small subunit ribosomal RNA", at positions 568 to 774 of the family's 1533-position model. The record is from RNAcentral. Lineage: Bacteria; Bacillati; Bacillota; Bacilli; Lactobacillales; Aerococcaceae.